This 798-nucleotide ribosomal RNA is filed under the name Enterobacter hormaechei. Its description in RNAcentral is "partial 23S ribosomal RNA". It matches the Rfam family "Bacterial large subunit ribosomal RNA", at positions 416 to 1216 of the family's 2925-position model. Lineage: Bacteria; Pseudomonadati; Pseudomonadota; Gammaproteobacteria; Enterobacterales; Enterobacteriaceae. The record is from RNAcentral.
GGCGGGACACGUGGUAUCCUGUCUGAAUAUGGGGGGACCAUCCUCCAAGGCUAAAUACUCCUGACUGACCGAUAGUGAACCAGUACCGUGAGGGAAAGGCGAAAAGAACCCCGGCGAGGGGAGUGAAAAAGAACCUGAAACCGUGUACGUACAAGCAGUGGGAGCCUCUUUAUGGGGUGACUGCGUACCUUUUGUAUAAUGGGUCAGCGACUUAUAUUCUGUAGCAAGGUUAACCGUAUAGGGGAGCCGAAGGGAAACCGAGUCUUAACUGGGCGUUAAGUUGCAGGGUAUAGACCCGAAACCCGGUGAUCUAGCCAUGGGCAGGUUGAAGGUUGGGUAACACUAACUGGAGGACCGAACCGACUAAUGUUGAAAAAUUAGCGGAUGACCUGUGGCUGGGGGUGAAAGGCCAAUCAAACCGGGAGAUAGCUGGUUCUCCCCGAAAGCUAUUUAGGUAGCGCCUCGUGAACUCAUCUUCGGGGGUAGAGCACUGUUUCGGCUAGGGGGCCAUCCCGGCUUACCAACCCGAUGCAAACUACGAAUACCGAAGAAUGUUAUCACGGGAGACACACGGCGGGUGCUAACGUCCGUCGUGAAGAGGGAAACAACCCAGACCGCCAGCUAAGGUCCCAAAGUCAUGGUUAAGUGGGAAACGAUGUGGGAAGGCACAGACAGCCAGGAUGUUGGCUUAGAAGCAGCCAUCAUUUAAAGAAAGCGUAAUAGCUCACUGGUCGAGUCGGCCUGCGCGGAAGAUGUAACGGGGCUAAACCAUGCACCGAAGCUGCGGCAGCGACGCUU